Molecule: ribosomal RNA, 322 nt
Filed under: uncultured Bacillota bacterium
Lineage: Bacteria; Bacillati; Bacillota
Description: bacterial SSU rRNA
Rfam family: Bacterial small subunit ribosomal RNA
Source: RNAcentral
GACGAACGCUGGCGGCGUGCCUAACACAUGCAAGUCGAGCGGAGCUAAUAGUAAUAUUAGCUUAGCGGCGGACGGGUGAGUAACGCGUGGGUAACCUGCCUUAUACAGGGGGAUAACACAGGGAAACUUGUGCUAAUACCGCAUAACGUAGCACCAAGGCAUCUUGGAGCUAACAAAGGAGUAAUCCGGUAUAAGAUGGACCCGCGUCCGAUUAGCUAGUUGGUGGGGUAAAAGCCUACCAAGGCGACGAUCGGUAGCCGAACUGAGAGGUUGAUCGGCCACAUUGGGACUGAGACACGGCCCAGACUCCUACGGGUGGCUG